ACUCAAAUGAAUUGACGGGGGCCCGCACAAGCAGCGGAGCGUGUGGUUUAAUUCGAUGAUACGCGAAGAACCUCACCCAGGUUUGACAUGCACGUUUACCGAUCCGAAAGGUGAGGGACCCUUCGGGGCGCGUGCACAGGUGUUGCAUGGCCGUCGUCAGCUCGUGCCGUGAGGUGUUGGGUUAAGUCCCGCAACGAGCGCAACCCCUGUCGCCAGUUGUAUUUUUCUGGCGAGACUGCCGAGAAAACCUCGGAGGAAGGAGGGGACGAUGUCAGGUCAGCAUGGCCCUUACGCCUGGGGCUACACACACGCUACAAUGGGCAGUACAGAGGGCCGCUAAGCCGCGAGGUGGAGCUAAUCCCAUCAAAACUGUCCUCAGUUCGGAUUGCAGGCUGAAACCCGCCUGCAUGAAGCCGGAGUUGCUAGUAACCGCAGGUCAGCACUACUGCGGUGAAUACGUUCCCGGGCCUUGUACACACCGCCCGU
Molecule: ribosomal RNA, 486 nt
Filed under: uncultured bacterium
Lineage: Bacteria
Description: partial 16S ribosomal RNA
Rfam family: Bacterial small subunit ribosomal RNA
Source: RNAcentral